Molecule: ribosomal RNA, 767 nt
Filed under: uncultured bacterium
Lineage: Bacteria
Description: bacterial SSU rRNA
Rfam family: Bacterial small subunit ribosomal RNA
Source: RNAcentral
AGUCGAACGAUGAAAGUCGUUUUGAUAUCUUCGGAUUGAUAAACUUCUGGAUUAGUGGCGGACGGGUGAGUAACGCGUGAGCAAUCUGCCUUACACAAAGGGAUAGCCUCGGGAAACCGGGAUUAAUACCAUAUGAUAUCUACGAGCCGCAUGGCCUAUAGAUUAAAGAAUUUCGGUGUAAGAUGAGCUCGCGUCCCAUUAAUUAGUUGGUGAGGGUAACGGCCCACCAAGAUAGCGAUGGGUAGCCGAUCUAAGAGGAUGACCGGCCACAUUGGAACUGAGAAACGGUCCAAACUCCUACGGGAGGCAGCAGUGGGGAAUAUUGCACAAUGGGGGAAACCCUGAUGCAGCGACGCCGCGUGAGCGAUGAAGGCUUUCGAGUCGUAAAGCUCUGUCCUAUGGGAAGAUAAUGACGGUACCAUAGAAGAAAGCCCCGGCUAAUUACGUGCCAGCAGCCGCGGUAAUACGUAAGGGGCGAGCGUUGUCCGGAAUUAUUGGGCGUAAAGAGUGCGUAGGCGGCAAAUUAAGUCAGAUGUGAAAACUAAGGGCUCAACCCAUAGAUUGCAUCUGAAACUGAUAUGCUUGAGUCAAGGAGAGGAAAGUGGAGUUCCUAGUGUAGCGGUGGAAUGCGUAGAUAUUAGGAGGAAUACCGGUGGCGAAGGCGACUUUCUGGACUUGAACUGACGCUGAGGCACGAAAGCGUGGGGAGCAAACAGGAUUAGAUACCCUGGUAGUCCACGCCGUAAACGAUGAGUGCUAGGUGUCUG